AGAGUUUGAUUAUGGCUCAAGAUGAACGCUGGCGGCGUGCUUAACACAUGCAAGUCGAACGAAGCACUCUUUUAGAUUUCCUUCGGGGGAGAAGAAAUUGUGACUGAGUGGCGGACGGGUGAGUAACGCGUGGGCAACCUGCCCCAUACAGGGGGAUAACAGCCGGAAACGGCUGCUAAAACCGCAUAAGCGCACAAGGGCCGCAUGGCCUGGUGUGAAAAACUCCGGUGGUAUGGGAUGGGCCCGCGUCUGAUUAGCUAGUUGGCGGGGGAGAGGCCCACCAAGGCGACGAUCAGUAGCCGACCUGAGAGGGUGGCCGGCCACAUUGGGACUGAGACACGGCCCAAACUCCUACGGGAGGCAGCAGUGGGGAGUAUUGCACAAUGGGGGAAACCCUGAUGCAGCGACGCCGCGUGAGCGAAGAACUAUUUCGGUAUGUAAAGCUCUAUCAGCAGGGAAGAAAAAUGACGGUACCUGAGUAAGAAGCACCGGCUAAAUACGUGCCAGCAGCCGCGGUAAUACGUAUGGUGCAAGCGUUAUCCGGAUU
RNAcentral lists this ribosomal RNA (547 nucleotides) under uncultured bacterium. RNAcentral describes it as "bacterial SSU rRNA". It matches the Rfam family "Bacterial small subunit ribosomal RNA", at positions 8 to 551 of the family's 1533-position model. The record is from RNAcentral.